This 68-nucleotide non-coding RNA is filed under the name Gemella haemolysans. RNAcentral's name for it is "partial 16S ribosomal RNA". It matches the Rfam family "Bacterial small subunit ribosomal RNA", at positions 1466 to 1533 of the family's 1533-position model. The record is from RNAcentral. Lineage: Bacteria; Bacillati; Bacillota; Bacilli; Caryophanales; Gemellaceae. RNAcentral also lists the same sequence under 8 other names.
GACAGAUGAUUGGGGUGAAGUCGUAACAAGGUAGCCGUAUCGGAAGGUGCGGCUGGAUCACCUCCUUU